AGAGUUUGAUUCUUGGCUCAGAAUUGAACGCUGGCGGCAGGCCUAACACAUUGCAAGUCGAGCGGCAGCGGGAGGAAGCUUUGCUUCCUCGCCGGCGAGCGGCGGGCGGGUGAGUAAUGUCUGGGGAUCUGCCCGAUGGAGGGGGAUAACCACUGGAAACGGUGGCUAAUACCGCAUAACGUCGCAAGACCAAAGUGGGGGACCUUCGGGCCUCACACCAUCGGAUGAACCCAGAUGGGAUUAACUAGUAGGUGGGGUAAUGGCUCACCUAGGCGACGAUCCCUAGCUGGUCUGAGAGGAUGACCAGCCACACUGGAACUGAGACACGGUCCAGACUCCUACGGGAGGCAGCAGUGGGGAAUAUUGCACAAUGGGGCGCAAGCCUGAUGCAGCCAUGCCGCGUGUGUGAAGAAAGGCCUUCGGGUUGUAAAGCACUUUCAGCGAGGAGGAAGGGUGGUGAGCCUAAUACGCUCAUCAAUUUGACGUUACUCGCAGAAAGAAAGCACCGGCUAACUUCCGUGCCAGCAGCCGCGGUAAUACGGAGGGUGCAAGCGUUAAUCGGAAUUACUGGGCGUAAAGCGCACGCAGGCGGUUUGUUAAGUCAGAUGUGAAAUCCCCGAGCUUAACUUGGGAACUGCAUUUGAAACUGGCAAGCUAGAGUCUCGUAGAAGGGGGGGUAGAAUUCCAGGUGGUAGCGGUGGAAUGCGCGUAAAGAUCUUGGAAGAAUUACGGUGUGGGCGAAGGCGGCCUCCUGGACGAAGACUGACGCUCAUGUGCGAAAGCGUGGGGAGCAAACAGGAUUAGUUAACCCUGGUAGUCACGC
This 823-nucleotide ribosomal RNA is filed under the name uncultured bacterium. RNAcentral describes it as "bacterial SSU rRNA". It matches the Rfam family "Bacterial small subunit ribosomal RNA", at positions 8 to 800 of the family's 1533-position model. The record is from RNAcentral.